UCCUGCAAGUGGGGGGGCGAGAAAAAAAAAAAAAAAAAAAAAAAAAAAAAAAAAAAAAAAAAAAAAA
Molecule: non-coding RNA, 67 nt
Filed under: Alexandrium minutum
Lineage: Eukaryota; Dinophyceae; Gonyaulacales; Pyrocystaceae
Source: RNAcentral